GGCCCGGUGGUCAAGCGGUUAAGACACCGCCCUUUCACGGCGGUAACGUGAGUUCAAUUCUCGCCCGGGUCACCA
RNAcentral lists this transfer RNA (75 nucleotides) under Oscillospiraceae bacterium. Its description in RNAcentral is "tRNA-Glu". It matches the Rfam family "tRNA". Rfam says of the family: Transfer RNA (tRNA) molecules are approximately 80 nucleotides in length. Their secondary structure includes four short double-helical elements and three loops (D, anti-codon, and T loops). Further hydrogen bonds mediate the characteristic L-shaped molecular structure. tRNAs have two regions of fundamental functional importance: the anti-codon, which is responsible for specific mRNA codon recognition, and the 3' end, to which the tRNAs corresponding amino acid is attached (by aminoacyl-tRNA synthetases). tRNAs cope with the degeneracy of the genetic code in two manners: having more than one tRNA (with a specific anti-codon) for a particular amino acid; and 'wobble' base-pairing, i.e. permitting non-standard base-pairing at the 3rd anti-codon position. The record is from RNAcentral. Lineage: Bacteria; Bacillati; Bacillota; Clostridia; Eubacteriales; Oscillospiraceae.